Molecule: long non-coding RNA, 199 nt
Filed under: Oryza brachyantha (malo sina)
Lineage: Eukaryota; Viridiplantae; Streptophyta; Magnoliopsida; Poales; Poaceae
Description: long non-coding RNA (OBRA_LNC000084)
Source: RNAcentral
CCUAGCCUCCUGUCACCCCCACCAUCGAAACUCCGUUGGGCUUCACGUUUUUCCUUCCAUUCGAAGUGAAAAACUCACCCUCGCAACAAGCUUCGACGACUCAUGACUUCAGGUAAUGGUUCGAAUCCAUUCUCAAGUUUCCAACAUUCCAACCACAUAGAAAACAUUCCAACCACAUAGGGUCAUUGUACUAGGUGUC